RNAcentral lists this transfer-messenger RNA (347 nucleotides) under Alkalithermobacter paradoxus. RNAcentral's name for it is "Clostridium thermoalcaliphilum transfer-messenger RNA". It matches the Rfam family "transfer-messenger RNA". Rfam says of the family: Bacterial tmRNA, also known as 10Sa RNA or SsrA, is named for its dual tRNA and mRNA-like properties. Its role is to liberate the mRNA from a stalled ribosome. Lineage: Bacteria; Bacillati; Bacillota; Clostridia; Peptostreptococcales; Tepidibacteraceae. RNAcentral also lists the same sequence under 1 other name. The record is from Rfam by way of RNAcentral.
GGGGGCGUAAAGGUUUCGACGGGGGUUUGGACCCUAGAGUAGCGAGUCGUGUUUCUCUGGACACGUAAAAAACUGGGGAUUAAAUAUAAACGCAAACGAUAAUUACGCUUUAGCAGCUUAGUAGCUGCUCGUCCUACCUAGCUGCCCACAAGCUAGACUAGGGCGUCGACUCAGUGGGGAACUAUCUUUAGGGUGUCUCGACUAAAGAUGGAUUGAUUGAGACUAGCUGAUCUCAAAGCCUUCUAUUGGGCGUUGGGUGAUGCGAAGCUCUAAAACAAUAGAUACGCUCGUAGAAGCUUUAGGCAAAGGACUUUCGGACAGGGGUUCGAUUCCCCUCGCCUCCACCA